UACGUAGAGAGCAAGCGUUGUCCGGAAUCAUUGGGCGUAAAGGGUACGCAGGCGGUCUAGUAAGUCAGAGGUGAAAUCCACCGGCUCAACCGGUGAACUGCCUUUGAUACUGUUAGACUUGAGGAUAAGAGAAGAAAGCGGAAUUCCUAGUGUAGUGGUGAAAUACGUAGAUAUUAGGAAGAAUACCGAUGGCGAAAGCAGCUUUCUAACUUACUCCUGACGCUCAGGUACGAAAGCUAGGGUAUCAAACGGGAUUAGAUACCCCGGUAGUCCUAGCCGUAAACGAUGGAUACUAGGUGUUGGGGGUUCGACCCCCUCGGUGCCGCAGUUAACGCAUUAAGUAUCCCGCCUGGGGAUUACGACCGCAAGGUUGAA
RNAcentral lists this ribosomal RNA (375 nucleotides) under uncultured bacterium. RNAcentral's name for it is "bacterial SSU rRNA". It matches the Rfam family "Bacterial small subunit ribosomal RNA", at positions 524 to 898 of the family's 1533-position model. The record is from RNAcentral.